This 585-nucleotide ribosomal RNA is filed under the name Meyerozyma caribbica. RNAcentral describes it as "partial large subunit ribosomal RNA". It matches the Rfam family "Eukaryotic large subunit ribosomal RNA", at positions 52 to 653 of the family's 3401-position model. Lineage: Eukaryota; Fungi; Ascomycota; Pichiomycetes; Serinales; Debaryomycetaceae. RNAcentral also lists the same sequence under 1 other name. The record is from RNAcentral.
GGAGGAAAAGAAACCAACAGGGAUUGCCUUAGUAGCGGCGAGUGAAGCGGCAAAAGCUCAAAUUUGAAAUCUGGCACCUUCGGUGUCCGAGUUGUAAUUUGAAGAUUGUAACCUUGGGGUUGGCUCUUGUCUAUGUUUCUUGGAACAGGACGUCACAGAGGGUGAGAAUCCCGUGCGAUGAGAUGCCCAAUCCUAUGUAAGGUGCUUUCGAAGAGUCGAGUUGUUUGGGAAUGCAGCUCUAAGUGGGUGGUAAAUUCCAUCUAAAGCUAAAUAUUGGCGAGAGACCGAUAGCGAACAAGUACAGUGAUGGAAAGAUGAAAAGAACUUUGAAAAGAGAGUGAAAAAGUACGUGAAAUUGUUGAAAGGGAAGGGUUUGAGAUCAGACUCGAUAUUUUGUGAGCCUUGCCUUCGUGGCGGGGUGACCCGCAGCUUAUCGGGCCAGCAUCGGUUUGGGCGGUAGGAUAAUGGCGUAGGAAUGUGACUUUGCUUCGGUGAAGUGUUAUAGCCUGCGUUGAUGCUGCCUGCCUAGACCGAGGACUGCGAUUUUAUCAAGGAUGCUGGCAUAAUGAUCCCAAACCGCCCGUC